Molecule: long non-coding RNA, 416 nt
Filed under: Marmota monax (woodchuck)
Lineage: Eukaryota; Metazoa; Chordata; Mammalia; Rodentia; Sciuridae
Source: RNAcentral
GAUGUUCUGCCAGGUGGGCUGGAAGGACUCUGAGAAAAUAACAUUACUUGCAAACAAGAAUGUUUAUCUGUUCUUAAGGAACAGAGCUCAGAAUGCUCCAGCCCAAGAGUAGAUUAAGACAUGAUCAGCAAGUUACUUCUGAUUAGUAAAUUACUUCUGCACAUAAUGUUUUGCAAGCUUAUAGACCUGAGUCAUUGCUGUUGGAAUGAUGCCUUCUUUGUUCACAAUACUAUAUAAAGACUGCUGUAUUCAAUGAAGGGAGCUUCUUCUUCUUCUUCUUGCUCAUGCUGACCUACAUUUAAGUUCUUUGCAACAAUUGGCAUAGUCGGCAAGAUUCAGCACCGAAAGGGUAAGCACCCUGGGUUUCGAAAACGAAAGCGGUACUUUUGGGAUUAACAUGGGAAACUCCCAAUCCU